UGAGUCGGCCAGACGGCCGCGUCAGGAGCCAUGACCGCGAGGUCGUGACCUGCCGAGGAAAGUCCGGGCUCCACAGGGCACGGUGGUGGCUAGCAGCCACCCGGGGCGACCCGCGGGACAGUGCCACAGAGAGAAGACAGCCUCAGGUCCGCCUGAGGUGAUGGUGAAAGGGUGGUGUAAGAGACCACCAGCAGCCCUGGUGACAGGGCUGGCUCGGUAAACCCCACCGGGAGCAAGCCCGAGCAGUAUGCGUUCGACGGCGGCCCGCCGGAGCAUACGGGUAGGGCGCUGGAGGUGGCCAGCAAUGGUCACCCGAGAU
RNAcentral lists this RNase P RNA (319 nucleotides) under Intrasporangiaceae bacterium. Its description in RNAcentral is "partial RNase P RNA component class A". It matches the Rfam family "Bacterial RNase P class A", at positions 1 to 309 of the family's 367-position model. From Rfam's summary of the family: Ribonuclease P (RNase P) is a ubiquitous endoribonuclease, found in archaea, bacteria and eukarya as well as chloroplasts and mitochondria. Its best characterised activity is the generation of mature 5'-ends of tRNAs by cleaving the 5'-leader elements of precursor-tRNAs. The record is from RNAcentral. Lineage: Bacteria; Bacillati; Actinomycetota; Actinomycetes; Micrococcales; Intrasporangiaceae.